RNAcentral lists this ribosomal RNA (259 nucleotides) under uncultured bacterium. RNAcentral describes it as "partial 16S ribosomal RNA". It matches the Rfam family "Bacterial small subunit ribosomal RNA", at positions 96 to 354 of the family's 1533-position model. The record is from RNAcentral.
UGGCGGACGGGUGAGUAACGCGUGGGCAACCUGCCUUACACGAGGGGGAUAACACUUAGAAAUAGGUGCUAAAACCGCAUAAGCGCACAGCUUCGCAUGAAGCGGUGUGAAAAACUCCGGUGGUGUAAGAUGGACCCGCGUCUGAUUAGCUUGUUGGCGGGGUAACGGCCCACCAAGGCGACGAUCAGUAGCCGGCCUGAGAGGGCGGACGGCCACAUUGGGACUGAGACACGGCCCAAACUCCUACGGGAGGCAGCAG